This is a long non-coding RNA of Felis catus (domestic cat), 3641 nucleotides long. RefSeq lists it as uncharacterized. The transcript is spliced from 2 exons. Lineage: Eukaryota; Metazoa; Chordata; Mammalia; Carnivora; Felidae. The record is from RefSeq and is a predicted model, not a curated record.
AAACAGGCUCCAGGCUCCGAGCCAUCAGCCCAGAACCUGACGCGGGGCUGGAACUCACGGACCGCGAGAUCGUGACCUGGCUAAAGUCGGACGCUUAACCGACUGCGCCACCCAGGCGCCCCGCCCCAUGGAGUUAUUUCUAAAACUUCAGAUGACCCCUCAUCUAGCAUUUCGGGAGUUUAAUUCUGACAGUAUCCAAGAUUUGAAAUUGUAUUGGAGGUGUCCAUUCAUUUGGCAAAUGUGAGUGACUAUUAUGUAUUGGACACUUAGGGGCAUACUAUGUCUAGUAAGGCAUGGUCUCUGAUGGCAAGAUGUUUACCUUCUAGUAAGGUCAAAGACUUGCAAACACAAUUAUAGUACAAGACAAUUCCAUAUAAUUGCAAUACCCAUGAAGUACAGAAAGUGCAUAAACAACCUUAAAUUUUCACAAAGAGGCAUCUGACUCAAGUCUUGGAUAAAUGAGAAUUUGCAAGGUGGAGAAGCAUAAAAAGAUUCUAAACAGUAAAAACAGCAUAUGUAAAUGUACUAGGCAUGAGAGACCAUUUUUUAAUAACUACAAGACACAGCAGUACUGUCCAAGCACCACCCGGUGCCUGGGUGGCUCAGUCAGUUAAGCGUUUGACUUCGGCUCUGGCUCCAGUUGUAAUCUCACUGUGAGUUCCAGCCCUGCGUUGGGCUCUCUGCUGUCAGCACGGAGCCUGCUUCAGAUCCUCUGUCCCACUCCCCAUCCCCAUCCCCCCCCCCCCGCCCCGUGCACCUCCCCUGCUCGCUCGUAUGCUCUCUCUCUCUCAAAAAUAAACAAAAAAAAGAAAAUUCUACUUCCUCCAUAGCUCAAGUAGCAUCCUUUACCUUAAACUACCUGUUAAAGUGGAAAAAACAUUUUGACAUAAGGGGUUGUUUGAUUGAAAAGGGACCUGAGUGCUGGCACAGUAGCUAAUUUAAUAGUCUUUGUUUCCUUGUCUGCUCCUUAUUUUUAUACUGUAUAUAGACUAUGUAUGACUUAUUCUGACUAAGCAGUGGUAACUGGAAAAGGUGAAGUCUCCUUAUGAAAUGUGUACAAUUUGUAUUGUGAAUUUAACAAGGUCCUUAAUCCCUUCUUUUGCUUCUAAAAGGGUAGGGGAAGUGUCUGAUCUUGCUCAACCCAACAAUUCAUCCUUUGAUAGUUUCUAAUAGCUUGAGUCUAGAAGCCUUAUAUAAUCAUGUUAUUUGCUCAGUAGAGAGGAAUGAAUGGUAGAUAGAAAUAAAAUAUUUUGGCCUUCUUUAACUUAAAGUACUUCAUUUUCUAUUCUAAAAUUAACUAAACUUGGGGCGCCUGGGUGGCUCAGUCGGUUAAGCAUCCGACUUCAGCUCAGGUCAUGAUCUCACAGUCUGUGAGUUUGAGCCCCGCAUCAGGCUCUUUGCUGACAGCUCAGAGCCUGGAGCCUGCUUCAGAUUCUGUGUCUCCCUCUCUCUCUGCCCCUCCCCUGUUCAUGCUCGGUCUCUCUCUGUCUCAAAAAUAAAUGAAAACAUUAAAAAAAUUAAAUUAACUAAAUUCUUCACCCCUUUCUGGACCUUUCUCUUCAUGAAGCUACAUCUUUUGUGCAACCCCAUUUAAAACAACUAUUUAUAAAUUUAUUUCUGUUUUACAGUCUGAGAUGGAAUUCAUCCUGCUUUUCACACUAAACUCAGCAUAUUUUAAACUACUAAGAUAUGACUUAAUAUUUAGCCUUUGAUAAAGAAGCUUGAACAGAAAAAAAAUCAUGUUUUUUUUUUUUUUUUGGCCCUGUGUUAGCUUUUUGUUUUGUAGCUAGCAAGAUAUAUAUUAUCCAUAUAUCUGUGUCAGUUUUCUUUUACAUUCUCCACUUAGCCUAUAUUCUGAGAUAAAUAAUUGCUGGCAAGCUUUCAUGGGGCCAAAGAAUUGAAUUCUUAAAGGCAAAUAAGCAAUUUUAAGAAUGAGAAUGACACAUGCAGAGGGAGAGAGGCCAACCAAGAAACAGACUUUUAACUAUAGAGAGCAAACUGAUAGUUACUAGAGAGGUGCAUGGGGGAAUGGGUUAAAUAGUUGAUGGGGAUUAAGGAGGGCACUUGCUAUGAUGGACACCAGGUGAUGUAUGUAAAUGUUAAAUCACUAUGUUGUACACCUGAAACUAAUAUAACACUGUAUGUUAACUUGAAUUAAAAUAAAGUGAAAACUUUAAAAAAUUUAAAAAAAAAUAAAAGAAUGACAUCGUAGGAAGGAAACUAAACAAAGUUGGGAACCCAGGUUCAAGUUCUAGGUUUGCAUGUAACUAUUUAUCCUUGAAUAUUUGCUUAGCCAAGAGCUCUUGCCUUUAGUAUUUAUUUCUCUCACGAGAUUUGAACUAGAAAACCUCUUAAGUUCAACAAAUAUAUGGCAUGACUUUUGGAACAAUAUUGAUUUCAAAAUCUCUUAUGACUUUAACAUCUGUAAAUAAAAAAUAUCUCAAAUGCUAAUAUUUCAGACUUUUCAGUCCUGGAAAUAUUGUAGAAAUCCUUUAUUAAAAUUAUGUGAUUUAGGGGCGCCUGGGUGGCUCAGUCGGUUAAGCAGCCGACUUCAGCUCAGGUCAUGAUCUCACGGUCCAUGAGUUCGAGCCCCGCGUCGGGCUCUGUGCUGACAGCUCAGAGCCUGGAGCCUGUUUCAGAUUCUGUGUCUCCCUCUCUCUGACCUUCCCCCGUUCAUGCUGUCUCUCUCUGUCUCAAAAAUAAAUAAACGUUAAAAAAAAAUUAAAAAAAAAAAUUAUGUGAUUUGGUCUUGAUUUGGAAAAUGGAGUCCUACCAUAUCUUUAUUCAUUUCCCAACUAGAACUAUGUGAUUCUAGGAUAGAUACAGAACAACAUCCCAUUUCAUAUCCACUAUGCCACCUCCUUCUCAAGCCGUUCCUCUUCCAAAUUUUCAGCCGCUUUAACAUUAAAAACUUUUCUAUCUAAACUUAUACCUUCAGAACUAUAUAAUUUUAUCUUUUUCUAAAGUCAGUAUAAAUUAUUUUUAACUCAUAAUGGUAUUUGUUCAGAACAGUUGGAUUGAAUGCUUACUGUGUGUAAUAUGCAUAAUGGAACCUUAAGUACAAUACCGAUACUGGGAAAGAUAAAGAAUUCAAAUAGUAAUUUUUGUCAGAGAAAAUUUGGGAAAUUAUUUGUGUAGCUUAGUUAUAAUUUUCCAGGGGAUAUGCCUUUAUUUUCUCUGUGUUCCAGGUCUUUCCUGAAAUUUAGAAGCCCCUUUGUUCCCCUUCCUUUCUGAUGCUGUCAGUGGUGAUGAUCACCUUUGAGGAAGAAAAGCCCACUUCCACUGACCAUGGAGAAUACACAGCAUCUCUGCUUGAUUGUGACAAGGCAAGUCCCAGGCAAUGGAUAAAAUCAAAUCUGAAACAGUUGAUUCAUGUUGGUGAAAGCUACCGAAAGAAUGUGAGGAUGGUUUUAAAGAUUUCCUGGUAAUGGAUAAAGCAUGUUCAGGUGGCCAGGCAAGUUUAGAGACCUUCUUUGACAUUUACAAGGGUUAUUAAAGGUUGUUGAGAAGCUACAUUUAGGAGUUAGAGGAACUGACAAAAUGCUUUUCACAGAAUGACAUGGUGAGAACAAGUUGAAAUUUUUGUAAAUUUAUUAAGUGUUCAAAGGAGUGAAACACCUGAUUAAAUUUCUGAUGCUCUU